ACAUGCCCCAUCAUAACUCUGAAGAACAUAGAACCCCCUCCUUCAGCUGAGACUUCCUGCAGCCAGGUGUGGUUGGAAAAUACUGCCCUGCCGCCAUGCAUCUCAGACAAUCGAUAGAGCUGUGCUCGGCAUCCCCAAGUGCAGGCAGUUAUGACGCCCGUGGAAGGACCCAGCUCGUGGCCGUGAUGUCAUAGGUGCCAGAAGCUCUGCCCAGGCAGAAAUGAACAUGAGAAACUGUUUUCCCAGCUACUGGAGUUUGGCAGAGCAGUGGACACAGAAAAUGGUGACCAAGGAGCGGGGAACAUUCUGGCUGUUGGAAGAUUUGCUUAACUCCCUGGCAGCUCCUGCCUUAAACUUUUUAUUCUUGUGGGAAAGGAACCUUAAGGAGUGAGGACAAUGACUCUGCCCAUAGGAAAUCAGGAUUCCUGUGCCUAAAUGAUGAAGCAACAGAAGGGAAGGAGCCUGCCUCGGGCUCAGGGCCACCUCCCACUCUACCUGGUGUCUCCUAAAGGGCAGAGCAACCAAGAGAGGACUGUCCACCCAGCCCUACGCAAGCCACUAACUCACAAGGCACCCUGAUGGAGAAAGGAGGCAGGAAGGAACCACAGCAGUCCACGCAAGCCACAGUCCACCAGUGACGUUGACCUGCAAGCAUUCCUGUAAACUUCUGCUCCUCAGUCACAUUAGGAUGCCCCUGUGGUCAAGGCCAGUCUCCUGCCUCAGCUGGAGCCAGCCAUCACCAUCACAGGGGACUUCCUUCCUAUAAAGGGCUGUCACUCAACAUCUCUUACAGACCUAGCUCUACCUCA
Long non-coding RNA from Mus musculus (house mouse), 809 nucleotides. RefSeq annotates it as predicted gene, 35982. The transcript has 3 exons. NCBI's taxonomy places the organism in Eukaryota, Metazoa, Chordata, Mammalia, Rodentia, Muridae. The record is from RefSeq and is a predicted model, not a curated record.